RNAcentral lists this ribosomal RNA (691 nucleotides) under uncultured bacterium. Its description in RNAcentral is "bacterial SSU rRNA". It matches the Rfam family "Bacterial small subunit ribosomal RNA", at positions 140 to 828 of the family's 1533-position model. The record is from RNAcentral.
GGGAUAAGCGGAAGAAAUUCCGUCUAAUACCGCGUAAUAACUCCGAGAGGCAUCUCCUGGGGUUUAAAGGGUAACACCGGCUACGGAUGGCCAUGCGGCGCAUUAGCUAGUUGGCGGGGUAACGGCCCACCAAGGCGACGAUGCGUAGGGGUUCUGAGAGGAAGGUCCCCCACACUGGUACUGAGACACGGACCAGACUCCUACGGGAGGCAGCAGUGAGGAAUAUUGGUCAAUGGGCGCGAGCCUGAACCAGCCAAGUCGCGUGAGGGAAGACGGUCCUAUGGAUUGUAAACCUCUUUUGUCGGGGAGCAAAAGACGCCACGCGUGGCGUUCCGAGAGUACCCGAAGAAAAAGCAUCGGCUAACUCCGUGCCAGCAGCCGCGGUAAUACGGAGGAUGCGAGCGUUAUCCGGAUUUAUUGGGUUUAAAGGGUGCGCAGGCGGAAGAUCAAGUCAGCGGUAAAAUUGAGAGGCUCAACCUCUUCGAGCCGUUGAAACUGGUUUUCUUGAGUGAGCGAGAAGUAUGCGGAAUGCGUGGUGUAGCGGUGAAAUGCAUAGAUAUCACGCAGAACUCCGAUUGCGAAGGCAGCAUACCGGCGCUCAACUGACGCUCAUGCACGAAAGUGUGGGUAUCGAACAGGAUUAGAUACCCUGGUAGUCCACACAGUAAACGAUGAAUAAUAAUUGUUCGGG